Molecule: long non-coding RNA, 344 nt
Filed under: Ananas comosus (pineapple)
Lineage: Eukaryota; Viridiplantae; Streptophyta; Magnoliopsida; Poales; Bromeliaceae
Description: long non-coding RNA (ACOM_LNC038084)
Source: RNAcentral
UUUUAGGCUUUUGUUAUUAUUAUUUUUUUUUUUUGAGAGAAAAGUAGUACGUUACCCGUUUCAUUCAGUAAGAAAGUGAAUUAAGCUACAUGGGUGAGACAGCAGGGCCUUGAUGUAUGGCNUUGUUUAAGUUACUUGAACUAAGAUUCAUCCACAGUUUCGCCAAUUGUUUAAUCUUGAAAAUACCGACUGUUGGGUCAGUCUGACUUGUCCGGAAGAUCGUUCUAUUCCUGAAUUCUCAAAUGACACACCAGUAGGCUAUCAGUCUUAUAAGACCAGUUGAGGUCGAUAUUGUUCUCUUUCUGCCUGCCCAUUUAUCCCAUACGGAACACAUGUUAUCUCCC